CCUACGGGAGGCAGCAGUGAGGAAUAUUGGUCAAUGGCCGGAAGGCUGAACCAGCCAUGCCGCGUGAAGGUCAGUGCCCUAUGGGCGUUAAACUUCUUUUGUGCGGGAGCAAUAAUGGUCACGUGUGGCCAGACGAGAGUACCGUACGAAUAAGCAUCGGCUAACUCCGUGCCAGCAGCCGCGGUAAUUCGGGGGAUGCAAGCGUUAUACGGAUUUUAUGGGUUGAAAGGGUGCGUAGGCUGUGAGGUAAGUCAGCGGUGAAAUGCCACCGCUCAAAGGGGUGAAGUGCCAUUGAUACUGCCUUGCUGGAAUGCAGAUGCCGUAGGAGGAAUGUGUGGUGUAGCGGUGAAAUGCAUAGAUAUCACACAGAACACCGAUUGCGAAGGCAUCUCACGAAUCCGCGAUUGACGCUGAUGCACGAAAGCGUGGGUAUCAAACAGGAUUAGAUACCCCUGUAGUC
This 460-nucleotide ribosomal RNA is filed under the name uncultured bacterium. RNAcentral describes it as "partial 16S ribosomal RNA". It matches the Rfam family "Bacterial small subunit ribosomal RNA", at positions 338 to 795 of the family's 1533-position model. The record is from RNAcentral.